AGUCAAGUAAUUAAGUGCAUGUGGUGGAUGCCUUGGCAGUCAGAGGCGAUGAAAGACGUGAUAGCCUGCGAAAAGCUCCGGGGAGGCGGCAAAUAUCCUUUGAUCCGGAGAUGUCUGAAUGGGGGAACCCACCUACUUUAAGGUAGGUAUUGCAACAUGAAUACAUAGUGUUGCAAGGCGAACGAGGGGAAGUGAAACAUCUCAGUACCCUUAGGAAAAGAAAUCAAUUGAGAUUCCCUCAGUAGCGGCGAGCGAACGGGGAUCAGCCCAUUAAGUUAUGUGUGUUUUAGUGGAACGCUCUGGGAAGUGCGAACGUAGAGGGUGAUAUUCCCGUACACGAAAGGGCACACAUAAUGAUGACGAGUAGGGCGAGGCACGUGAAACCUUGUCUGAAUAUGGGGGGACCAUCCUCCAAGGCUAAAUACUCCUGACUGACCGAUAGUGAACCAGUACCGUGAGGGAAAGGCGAAAAGAACCCCUGUGAGGGGAGUGAAAUAGAUCCUGAAACCGCAUGCAUACAAGCAGUGGGAGCACCUUCGUGGUGUGACUGCGUACCUUUUGUAUAAUGGGUCAGCGACUUAUAUUCAGUAGCGAGGUUAACCGUAUAGGGGAGCCGUAGAGAAAUCGAGUCUUAAUAGGGCGUUUAGUUGCUGGGUAUAGACCCGAAACCAGGCGAUCUAUCCAUGAGCAGGUUGAAGGUUGGGUAACACUAACUGGAGGACCGAACCCACUGUCGUUGAAAAGCCAGGGGAUGACUUGUGGAUAGGGGUGAAAGGCUAAUCAAGCCUGGUGAUAGCUGGUUCUCCCCGAAAGCUAUUUAGGUAGCGCCUCGGACGAAUACCAUAGGGGGUAGAGCACUGUUUCGGCUAGGGGGUCAUCCCGACUUACCAAACCGAUGCAAACUCCGAAUACCUAUGAGUACUAUCCGGGAGACAGACUGCGGGUGCUAACGUCCGUAGUCAAGAGGAAAACAAUCCAGACCGCCAGCUAAGGCCCCAAAAUCAUAGUUAAGUGGGAAACGAUGUGGGAAGGCAUAGACAGCUAGGAGGUUGGCUUAGAAGCAGCCACCCUUUAAAGAAAGCGUAAUAGCUCACUAGUCGAGUCGGCCUGCGCGGAAGAUGUAACGGGGCUAAAACUAUGUGCCGAAGCUGCGGAUGUAUACUUUGUAUACGUGGUAGGGGAGCGUUCUGUAAGCCGAUGAAGGUGUGUUGAGAAGCAUGCUGGAGGUAUCAGAAGUGCGAAUGCUGACGUGAGUAACGACAAAACGGGUGAAAAACCCGUUCGCCGAAAGACCAAGGGUUCCAGUCCAACGUUAAUCGGGGCUGGGUGAGUCGACCCCUAAGGCGAGGCCGAAAGGCGUAGUCGAUGGGAAAAUGGUUAAUAUUCCAUUACUUCUGUGUAAUGCGAUGAGAGGACGGAGAAGGCUAAAUCAGCCUGGCGUUGGUUGUCCAGGUGAAAGGAUGUAGGCAUGUAUCUUAGGCAAAUCCGGGGUACUCUAUGCUGAGAUCUGAUAGCAAGCUGUACUUGUACAGCGAAGUGUUGAUGCCAUGCUUCCAGGAAAAGUCUCUAAGCUUCAGUUACACAGGAAUCGUACCCGAAACCGACACAGGUGGUCAGGUCGAGUAGACCAAGGCGCUUGAGAGAACUCUGCUGAAGGAACUAGGCAAAAUGGUACCGUAACUUCGGGAGAAGGUACGCUGUUGUUGGUGAUGGAACUCGCUUCCUGAGCUGACGACAGCCGCAGAAACCAGGCCGCUGCAACUGUUUAUUAAAAACAUAGCACUCUGCAAACACGAAAGUGGACGUAUAGGGUGUGAUGCCUGCCCGGUGCUGGAAGGUUAAUUGAUGGGGUUAGCGUAAGCGAAGCUCUUGAUCGAAGCCCCAGUAAACGGCGGCCGUAACUAUAACGGUCCUAAGGUAGCGAAAUUCCUUGUCGGGUAAGUUCCGACCUGCACGAAUGGCAUAAUGAUGGCGGCGCUGUCUCCAGCAGAGGCUCAGUGAAAUCGAAAUCGCUGUGAAGAUGCAGUGUACCCGCGGCUAGACGGAAAGACCCCGUGAACCUUUACUGCAGCUUGACACUGAACUUUGACCUUACUUGUGUAGGAUAGGUGGGAGGCUUUGAAGCUGGAACGCUAGUUCCAGUGGAGCCGUCCUUGAAAUACCACCCUGGUAAUGUUGAGGUUCUAACUCUGUCCCGUGAUCCGGGACGAGGACCGUGUCUGGUGGGUAGUUUGACUGGGGCGGUCUCCUCCUAAAGAGUAACGGAGGAGUACGAAGGUGCGCUCAGCGUGGUCGGAAAUCACGCGUAGAGUAUAAAGGCAAAAGCGCGCUUAACUGCGAGACCCACAAGUCGAGCAGGUACGAAAGUAGGUCUUAGUGAUCCGGUGGUUCUGUAUGGAAGGGCCAUCGCUCAACGGAUAAAAGGUACUCUGGGGAUAACAGGCUGAUACCGCCCAAGAGUUCAUAUCGACGGCGGUGUUUGGCACCUCGAUGUCGGCUCAUCUCAUCCUGGGGCUGAAGCAGGUCCCAAGGGUAUGGCUGUUCGCCAUUUAAAGAGGUACGCGAGCUGGGUUUAGAACGUCGUGAGACAGUUCGGUCCCUAUCUACCGUGGGCGCUGGAAAUUUGAGAGGAUCUGCUCCUAGUACGAGAGGACCAGAGUGGACGAACCUCUGGUGUACCGGUUGUGACGCCAGUCGCAUCGCCGGGUAGCUAUGUUCGGAAGGGAUAACCGCUGAAAGCAUCUAAGCGGGAAGCCUACCUCAAGAUAAGAUUUCCCUAGGACUUUAUGUCCUCUAAAGAGCCGUUCGAGACUAGGACGUUGAUAGGUUGGAUGUGGAAGCAUAGUGAUAUGUGAAGCUGACCAAUACUAAUUGCUCGUGAGGCUUGACUAUACAACACCC
RNAcentral lists this ribosomal RNA (2901 nucleotides) under Acinetobacter baumannii Naval-82. RNAcentral's name for it is "bacterial LSU rRNA". It matches the Rfam family "Bacterial large subunit ribosomal RNA". Lineage: Bacteria; Pseudomonadati; Pseudomonadota; Gammaproteobacteria; Moraxellales; Moraxellaceae. The record is from RNAcentral.